Molecule: ribosomal RNA, 390 nt
Filed under: Nipponacmea teramachii
Lineage: Eukaryota; Metazoa; Mollusca; Gastropoda; Lottiidae
Description: partial 12S ribosomal RNA
Rfam family: Bacterial small subunit ribosomal RNA
Source: RNAcentral
AACUCAAAGGACUUGGCGGUGCAUUAAUCCACCCAGGGGAACCUGGCCCUUAAUUCGAUGAUCCGCGAACUUCUUACCUUCUCUUGUGUAAAUAUGCCCCGAGGGGGGCAUAUUUAUAUCAGUUUGCAUACCGCCGUUUUCAGCUUAUGUCGUGAGAUAAUAGAAAUAGGCUAUUCAGCAGUGGGACACGUUACCUUUAAGGGUACAGCGUUGCUAGGAAUUCAGGUAAAAGUGUAGCCUAUGGGAAGGGGGCUGCUGGGUUACAAUUGAGGUUUGAAAUGGAAUGCGGUCUGAAAUGGCCCCAUGAAAGAGUACUUGGAAGUAAUGACUUUUAGGCAAUGGAGUCGUGAAUAGUGCUCUAGUGUGUGUACAAAUCGCCCGUCACUCUCU